AUGGCUGUGGCCGUGGCUGUGAUGAGUUUGACAAUUGGUACCUCUUCAGGGAUGACUGAAAAAUUCAGACCUUUGACAAGUACUUCUUCUUUGGCUUAUUUACUGCUGGGAAAAGAGAAGUUCAUGUUGGAUCUAAGCCUGCUUGAACAAUCAUCACAAGACCUAUGGCCGGCCAUCAGCAGGAGGGUCCCCCUACAUGAGCCUGGUCCUGCUCAAGGUUUCUUCCUGUUAAAGGGGAGUUUUUCUUGUUUGGGGUUAUGCCCUGGGAUUCUGGAAAGUGCCCUGAAACUAUUUUGAUUGUAAAAGACGCUAUAUAAAUAAAGAUUGAUUUGAUGUCUGUACAUCUUUGUGCUACAUCAUUGUACUACUUCGGUUAUUUCAAAUGAUAAAAUUAGUUUAAGCUUUUGAUAAUUAUCAAUAAUUAUUAUCUAAUUAUAAUUAUCUCAAGUUUCCUGAAACAAACUAUUAUGAUGUUAAGUGCAAGAUAGCACAGCUGUCUAAUAAGAGACUAAUUGUUACGCUCGAGAGGACUGGCGGUCAAGUGUGGCGGAACCCCAAAGAAGGCAGACAGACACGGGAAUUAAAAAAGUAAACUCUGAAGGUUUAAUGAAGCAAAAAAACCAGGAGGGAAGAAACAAAAUGAGAGAGGCCGAGACAAACUAUAGGUGCGUGAUGCGGCAGACGAACCAAGUUCGAGAUCCAGGGGCGAGAGUCUGUGGGAGAGUCCAAGUGUCCAGAGGAUAGGAGAAAUCCGUCCGAGGAAGGGGAAGAGGAAGAGGAAGAGGUCAGAGGAAGAGGGGCUAGGAAGGUUGCAGAGGAGUCUCUGGAAGACGCAGGGAGACGCAGGGAGUCGCUGGGGAGCCUGGAGAGAUGCUGGGUCCACGGGACGUGUUGCCAAAAACAUCAGUAAGAUCAAGCACUGGCCUGAGUGCAUAGGGGCCUUUUAUGGGUGCAGAGUCGUUUGGGCGGAUUGGGUGCAGCUGCAGGAGAGGGCCCA
This 997-nucleotide long non-coding RNA is filed under the name Takifugu rubripes (torafugu). RNAcentral describes it as "lncRNA (ENSTRUG00000031406.1)". The record is from RNAcentral. Lineage: Eukaryota; Metazoa; Chordata; Actinopteri; Tetraodontiformes; Tetraodontidae.